Molecule: ribosomal RNA, 676 nt
Filed under: uncultured Bacilli bacterium
Lineage: Bacteria; Bacillati; Bacillota; Bacilli
Description: bacterial SSU rRNA
Rfam family: Bacterial small subunit ribosomal RNA
Source: RNAcentral
AACGCUGAAGGAGGAGCUUGCUUCUCUGGAUGAGUUGCGAACGGGUGAGUAACGCGUAGGUAACCUGCCUGGUAGCGGGGGAUAACUAUUGGAAACGAUAGCUAAUACCGCAUAAGAGUAGAUGUUGCAUGACAUUUGCUUAAAAGGUGCAAUUGCAUCACUACCAGAUGGACCUGCGUUGUAUUAGCUAGUUGGUGAGGUAACGGCUCACCAAGGCGACGAUACAUAGCCGACCUGAGAGGGUGAUCGGCCACACUGGGACUGAGACACGGCCCAGACUCCUACGGGAGGCAGCAGUAGGGAAUCUUCGGCAAUGGACGGAAGUCUGACCGAGCAACGCCGCGUGAGUGAAGAAGGUUUUCGGAUCGUAAAGCUCUGUUGUAAGAGAAGAACGAGUGUGAGAGUGGAAAGUUCACGCUGUGACGGUAUCUUACCAGAAAGGGACGGCUAACUACGUGCCAGCAGCCGCGGUAAUACGUAGGUCCCGAGCGUUGUCCGGAUUUAUUGGGCGUAAAGCGAGCGCAGGCGGUUAGAUAAGUCUGAAGUUAAAGGCUGUGGCUUAACCAUAGUACGCUUUGGAAACUGUUUAACUUGAGUGCAAGAGGGGAGAGUGGAAUUCCAUGUGUAGCGGUGAAAUGCGUAGAUAUAUGGAGGAACACCGGUGGCGAAAGCGGCU